Molecule: long non-coding RNA, 489 nt
Filed under: Malus domestica (apple)
Lineage: Eukaryota; Viridiplantae; Streptophyta; Magnoliopsida; Rosales; Rosaceae
Description: long non-coding RNA (MDOM_LNC019004)
Source: RNAcentral
UUUGUUUUUGAGUGCAUGCAAGCAUGAUUCCGCCUUUAAUUGUUAAUUGCAUGCUAUAUGAUGUUGCUUGAAUGAACAUGUUUUUCAAAAUAAAUCCUUCAAGUGGUAUCAGAGCCUAGGUCUAGUAGUUGGUGAAUCCUUUUGGGUGUAGUUCAUAAGUUUAUGAUCUAAAAGUUGUAAUUGUUACAAGCUUUAUUCUUGCUUCUUUGAAUGAAAAUUUUGUUUGAAAAUUUGCCAUCUCAAAUGUUGUAGAUGUAGUUCAUAUGAGGAUGAAUAUUGGAGCUAAAAUUUGGUGCCAUGAUUUUAGGGAUUUUCGGCCAAAUCCAAAGGGUGAUUUUUUGGGUUCAUGUUUGUCUUGUUAAAAAUGUUUUAAGGUGACUUUUGGAACCCCUAAGUACCCUAGGAUGUUAGCACCAUUUUGAAUGGUAAAAAUUUGAGUUUUAUUGCAUGAAAACAUUCAUGGAGCUCUUAUGGGUUUUCAUGGAUGUU